RNAcentral lists this ribosomal RNA (253 nucleotides) under uncultured bacterium. RNAcentral describes it as "partial 16S ribosomal RNA". It matches the Rfam family "Bacterial small subunit ribosomal RNA", at positions 524 to 776 of the family's 1533-position model. The record is from RNAcentral.
UACGGAGGGCGCUAGCGUUAUUCGGAAUUACUGGGCGUAAAGCGCACGUAGGCGGCUUUGUAAGUUAGAGGUGAAAGCCUGGAGCUCAACUCCAGAACUGCCUUUAAGACUGCAUCGCUUGAAUCCAGGAGAGGUGAGUGGAAUUCCGAGUGUAGAGGUGAAAUUCGUAGAUAUUCGGAAGAACACCAGUGGCGAAGGCGGCUCACUGGACUGGUAUUGACGCUGAGGUGCGAAAGCGUGGGGAGCAAACAGG